This 465-nucleotide ribosomal RNA is filed under the name uncultured bacterium. Its description in RNAcentral is "bacterial SSU rRNA". It matches the Rfam family "Bacterial small subunit ribosomal RNA", at positions 338 to 795 of the family's 1533-position model. The record is from RNAcentral.
CCUACGGGAUGCAGCAGUGGGGAAUUUUGGACAAUGGGCGCAAGCCUGAUCCAGCAAUGCCGCGUGAGUGAAGAAGGCCUUCGGGUUGUAAAGCUCUUUUGUCAGGGAAGAAACGGUAGAGGCUAAUAUCCUUUGCUAAUGACGGUACCUGAAGAAUAAGCACCGGCUAACUACGUGCCAGCAGCCGCGGUAAUACGUAGGGUGCAAGCGUUAAUCGGAAUUACUGGGCGUAAAGCGUGCGCAGGCGGUUUUGUAAGUCUGUCGUGAAAGCCCCGGGCUCAACCUGGGAAUUGCGAUGGAGACUGCAAGGCUUGAAUCUGGCAGAGGGGGGUAGAAUUCCACGUGUAGCAGUGAAAUGCGUAGAGAUGUGGAGGAACACCGAUGGCGAAGGCAGCCCCCUGGGUCAAGAUUGACGCUCAUGCACGAAAGCGUGGGGAGCAAACAGGAUUAGAUACCCUGGUAGUC